This 82-nucleotide transfer RNA is filed under the name Aleuroplatus sp. PB-2004. RNAcentral's name for it is "tRNA-Gln". The record is from RNAcentral. Lineage: Eukaryota; Metazoa; Arthropoda; Insecta; Hemiptera; Aleyrodidae.
AGCUCUUGGGGCUUUUAUUUAAUUUAAGUAGUCCACGUUAAUUUUUGAUAUUAAAGAUACUAAUUAGAUUUAGUAAAUUAAU